CCUACGGGAGGCAGCAGUGGGGAAUUUUGGACAAUGGGCGAAAGCCUGAUCCAGCAAUGCCGCGUGAGUGAAGAAGGCCUUCGGGUUGUAAAGCUCUUUUGUCAGGGAAGAAACGGUGAAAGCUAAUAUCUUUUGCUAAUGACGGUACCUGAAGAAUAAGCACCGGCUAACUACGUGCCAGCAGCCGCGGUAAUACGUAGGGUGCAAGCGUUAAUCGGAAUUACUGGGCGUAAAGCGUGCGCAGGCGGUUUUGUAAGUCUGAUGUGAAAUCCCCGGGCUCAACCUGGGAAUUGCAUUGGAGACUGCAAGGCUAGAAUCUGGCAGAGGGGGGUAGAAUUCCACGUGUAGCAGUGAAAUGCGUAGAUAUGUGGAGGAACACCGAUGGCGAAGGCAGCCCCCUGGGUCAAGAUUGACGCUCAUGCACGAAAGCGUGGGGAGCAAACAGGAUUAGAUACCCUGGUAGUCCACGCCCUAAACGAUGUCUACUAGUUGUCGGGUCUUAAUUGACUUGGUAACGCAGCUAACGCGUGAAGUAGACCGCCUGGGGAGUACGGUCGCAAGAUUAAAACGUCAAAUUGAAAUUGACGG
This 588-nucleotide ribosomal RNA is filed under the name uncultured bacterium. RNAcentral describes it as "bacterial SSU rRNA". It matches the Rfam family "Bacterial small subunit ribosomal RNA", at positions 338 to 916 of the family's 1533-position model. The record is from RNAcentral.